RNAcentral lists this ribosomal RNA (240 nucleotides) under uncultured bacterium. RNAcentral's name for it is "partial 16S ribosomal RNA". It matches the Rfam family "Bacterial small subunit ribosomal RNA", at positions 15 to 236 of the family's 1533-position model. The record is from RNAcentral.
GAUCCUGGCUCAGGAUGAACGCUGGCGGCGUGCCUAACACAUGCAAGUCGGACGAAGCAAUAAAGACGGAGAUUCGUCAAAGCCUUUAUUGACUUAGUGGCGGACGGGUGAGUAACGCGUGAGCAACCUGCCUUUCAGAGGGGGGACAACAGUUGGAAACGGCUGCUAAUACCGCAUAAUGUACAGAGGGGGCAUCCCUUUUGUAUCAAAGGAGAAAUCCGCUGAAAGAUGGGCUCACGU